UUUUUUUUCACGCGCACUCGCGCAUGUGAAUUCGUGCCACAGACCAAACGAAUCAACCAUGAAAACACUGGACCGUCUCUGGGCAGUCCUCUGCGUCACACCCCAGGCAGUGGCACCUCUUCCUAUUGUUGGACUGAGACUCAACUCUCAGCCUCUUGUAGGAAUGCAGAGAUCUCAACUGGAGAAGCAAAGCCCAUCUGAAGUCCUGGGCUGAGGAUCAAGAGGGACAAAGUGUUAGAUGAUGAAAAUGAAGAAAACAAAGCAGUAUACAAAUGUAAGGAUCUGUAAAAAAAAAAAAAAAAAAGUACUAUAAGUGAAUGGACAGUGUGUGGCCUAUUUGUGUGCAUAUAUGAUUUUAUUUUUUCAUUUGCAGAGUCUUAUAAGCAUAUGUGGGCUGGGCAUCCUAAAGAUGCAAGACACUAUAAUAAUAAAUGAAAUCAUACUACGCUACACCCUAAGAGCCCUUACGUGUAUCUGUGUUCCAGAGGUCCUCCUUAGUGAAUGCAGAGCAUACGUACAUCUGAGAUCCACAUAUUUCAUAGUUCCUCCUAAGUAAUAUUUUUUAUUUAAUUCAACUAGGCAAGUCAGUUAAGAACAAAAUCUUAUUUACAAUGACGGCCUAGGAAGAGUGGGUUAACUGCCUUGUUCAGGGGCAGAACAGCAAAUUUUUACCUUGUCAGCUCAGGGCUUUGAUCUAACAACCUUUUGGUUACUGGCCGAAUGCUCUAACUUCUAGGCUACCUGUAAUAGUAGAGCAUACAUUUGAGGUGGCUGUCUCAGAAUGCUUGCUGUGGGUGGAGCCAGAGUAUCGGGAAAUAUCCUCAGAGUCUAGGAUGGAGUUGGUGGUUGUUGUAAUGUACAUACCCUCUUCAUUGUCCACAUGAGUUGCAGAGUGGCGGGGAAUGUCCCGGGACUCCAGGAAGAACCUGGUGGUUGUUCACAUGUUACAUUUUAUUUAACUAGUACAACACAUCAUCCUUAGGAGUUAAAAAGCAAUGGGGACAGUCCUGGGGAGUCAAAGUCCUCUGGUUAAGAGUCUCCCUGGAGCUGUUGGACUGCUUGGGGCUCCCUGCUCUGCUGGAGUCAGGAGUCCAGACACAGGGUGACUUUGUGGAUCAACAAGGAUAACGUGACAGAUGGUAAAGAGAGUGGACCAAUACUCAAACAAACCAAUUCAAUGCAAAAUCAAGCAAAUUAGACAAAUUAGGCAAACUAGCACACGAGACAGAGGUAGAACUCGUAACUGACAGGUAGCCAGGGUUGUCAUAGUGAUUAUAACCAGACUGGAACGAUUGGCUCCAGGCUUUCAAGUGAGGCAAUACCCAAUCUGUAGAUCAAGAGGGGGAAAAAUUGCAGAUCAAGCAAUUUACCAGAAAAAUGAAUUUACUAAUAAUCAAAGUUUAGCAGACUAAGCAGCAUGGUAGAGUAAGAUCUUACCCGAGAGGUGGUUUCAGCUACUUUAGAGCUCCUCGUUCCUAUUAAGAGAGUAGACAUCAGUGGUCUCAGACCAACGGGAUUGGGACAACCCAGUGGUGAAGACGUUCCUGGGGAGUCAAAGCCCUCUGGUCAGGAGACUCCCCGGGUCUCCAGAAGCAGGGUAGGUAUGUGGAUCAACAGGGACAAAGUGUCAGAUGGUAAAGAGAGUGGAACAACACACUGAAACAAACAAAUUGUUAUGUUCCCCAGUUUCUGUGUUGUGGUUUUGUUUGGAUGUGUGUGUUUCAGGAUGGCUUCCGGAAAUUCUAAGCAGCUGAUUGGUCGGCCCCAUCAAUGAUUGGAGAUCUGACCCCGCCCUCUAAUCAGGAGAUACAGCUGUCUUCAAUUAUCGACUCCUUCUGAAGCUUUAAAAGCCAGUGUUCGUUUGUUAGGAGAGAGAGCUGAUGGUUAUGUUCUGUGUUGGUUGUUGCUCGGAGACAGUUCCCCAUAGGACGCAGUGUUUUUGAUUAUUGAAAUGGUUUACUUAUGUUUGUAUUCGUUUUAAUUUGUUCCCAGGGGGGAAGGGAGUGCUUAGGCAAGCGACCUGCGGGCAUAAAUAUACCCGAGUAUGUACUUUGUCUAUGCUCACUAGGUAAGACCCGUCUGGACCAUCCCCUGUAUUUUGGUUAGUGCGCCAGGUGCUGCGUGUUAGGUAAGUUGUGGGUAGGUAAAGUAGGAGAGGGGGAUCUUUAACUUUCUCUGCUUUGGUUCCAUUACCGUGUGACUGAAUAAAUUCCCUGUAAAAGGUUAA
Long non-coding RNA from Oncorhynchus nerka (sockeye salmon), 2227 nucleotides. RefSeq lists it as uncharacterized. NCBI's taxonomy places the organism in Eukaryota, Metazoa, Chordata, Actinopteri, Salmoniformes, Salmonidae. The transcript is spliced from 2 exons. The record is from RefSeq and is a predicted model, not a curated record.